RNAcentral lists this ribosomal RNA (468 nucleotides) under uncultured bacterium. RNAcentral's name for it is "partial 16S ribosomal RNA". It matches the Rfam family "Bacterial small subunit ribosomal RNA", at positions 28 to 507 of the family's 1533-position model. The record is from RNAcentral.
GACGAACGCUGGCGGCGUGCUUAACACAUGCAAGUCGAACGGAAAGGCCCUGCUUUUGUGGGGUGCUCGAGUGGCGAACGGGUGAGUAACACGUGAGUAACCUGCCCUUGACUUUGGGAUAACUUCAGGAAACUGGGGCUAAUACCGGAUAGGAGCUCCUGCUGCAUGGUGGGGGUUGGAAAGUUUCGGCGGUUGGGGAUGGACUCGCGGCUUAUCAGCUUGUUGGUGGGGUAGUGGCUUACCAAGGCUUUGACGGGUAGCCGGCAGGGGAGGGUGACCGGGCACAUGGGGACUAAGAUACGGCCCAGAAGCGUACGGGAGGCAACGGUGGGGAAUAUUGCACAAUGGGGGGAAGCCUGAUGCAGCAGCGCCGGGUGCGUGAAGACGGCCUUCGGGUUGUAAACCGAUUUCGCCUGUGACGAAGCGUGAGUGACGGUAAUGGGUAAAGAAGCACCGGCUAACUACGUG